Molecule: ribosomal RNA, 496 nt
Filed under: uncultured bacterium
Lineage: Bacteria
Description: partial 16S ribosomal RNA
Rfam family: Bacterial small subunit ribosomal RNA
Source: RNAcentral
AUGAACGCUGGCGGCGUGCCUAAUACAUGCAAGUCGAGCGAACAGACGAGGAGCUUGCUCCUCUGACGUUAGCGGCGGACGGGUGAGUAACACGUGGAUAACCUACCUAUAAGACUGGGAUAACUUCGGGAAACCGGAGCUAAUACCGGAUAAUAUAUUGAACCGCAUGGUUCAAUAGUGAAAGACGGUUUUGCUGUCACUUAUAGAUGGAUCCGCGCCGCAUUAGCUAGUUGGUAAGGUAACGGCUUACCAAGGCGACGAUGCGUAGCCGACCUGAGAGGGUGAUCGGCCACACUGGAACUGAGACACGGUCCAGACUCCUACGGGAGGCAGCAGUAGGGAAUCUUCCGCAAUGGGCGAAAGCCUGACGGAGCAACGCCGCGUGAGUGAUGAAGGUCUUCGGAUCGUAAAACGCUGUUAUUAGGGAAGAACAAAUGUGUAAGUAACUAUGCACGUCUUGACGGUACCUAAUCAGAAAGCCACGGCUAACUACGUG